RNAcentral lists this long non-coding RNA (1226 nucleotides) under Sus scrofa (pig). RNAcentral describes it as "lncRNA (ENSSSCG00070013405.1)". The record is from RNAcentral. Lineage: Eukaryota; Metazoa; Chordata; Mammalia; Artiodactyla; Suidae.
AGGGCCAUGGAUUGAACCUGCACCUUCAUGGAUGCUAGUCGGGUUUGUUUCUGCUGAGCCACAACAGGAGCUACACAUUGGUUUUUUUAUUUUACUGCUCUUGUCCCAUACUGAACUGUACACUCACCAUAUAUCUCCAUCAAAAUAUACUUCCAGAAUUUAUUAUUCUUAAUACUGGGUGGUUAAAUUUACUAUCUAGCUUAGGUUAUAGACCUUACUGCAUCCUAGUAGCAAGAGUCUCUUAUCUAUCAUUUGAACUAAAAAGAAUCAUGCCUUUAAUGUGAAUUUUACCCAUUCGGUGUUGAGCAGAGAAGUGGUAUAAUCUGCGGCAUGGUUUUCCAAAUACAUUCAACAUUUCAGCCACUCACAUUUUAUUUAAAUACAGACAUGUCAUCAUAGUCUUAGGAGAACAAAAGCAUAUUUUUAUACAUGCAACAACACCAAAAGUGUCUAUAAAAAUCUAGAGGUUGGAAAAUUUACGUUAGACAUUUUAAAUAUCAUCCAUAUUUUUGCAUCACUUGCUUUCUUGUUCAAGAGAAACUCAAAAAUAUGAUUUAAUCAAUAUUUAUUUUUAAAAGUUAUUUAAAAGUCUACUAUGUAUGAUAAAACUUUGAAAAACUGAUGUCUAAAAUGUUAAAGCAAUUUAUUUUUUCUUGUCAAAACACUUAUGAAUCAUCUAUUGUAGAAUUCUAUUUGGUCCUUUACUAUCCUGUCUUCUCUGCUUAUUCCCGGUUUAAUGACAGGCAAAGUGUGAAGAAACGUUAAUUAUCUAAGGUUACUCAUCACGACCUCCCUGUCUACUCCAUUGUCUAGUUUGAUGCUGAUGCUGAUCUCUGGGUAGUUUCCGUCUCUUAUUUCUUCUAUCCUCCACUCUCAUUUCACCAGUAUAACCAAUUCCUUGCAUUACCCUCCUGUUUUAAAUGCCCAGAAUGCUUUCAAUUUAUUUGGGGGGUUUAAAUUCUUCAUGAUCCAUUUCCCCUCAUCAUAUUUCUAUUUGGUUAGUUUUUUUUGUGUCUGUUUUGACCUCAUGCACAGUGAGUGAAAAUUCCCCGAUCAGGUAUCGAACUCCAGCCACAGCAGUGAUGCUGUGUGCUUUAGCCACUCGCCGACCUGGUAAGUCCUCCCCUUCAUAUUUUAAAGCCUUAAAACCAGGAGUUACAAGGAGAAUCAGUUCCAAGGAAUGAAUUAUCCCUUAGAAAAUGAAAUAAAUACAGUAAUCUCUUCCA